Oncorhynchus gorbuscha (pink salmon) is the source of this 1705-nucleotide long non-coding RNA. RefSeq lists it as uncharacterized. The record is from RefSeq and is a predicted model, not a curated record. The transcript has 2 exons. NCBI's taxonomy places the organism in Eukaryota, Metazoa, Chordata, Actinopteri, Salmoniformes, Salmonidae.
UCUACUGGUUAUAGUAAACACACUGGAUCAUCAUCCAGACCUCUACUGGUUAUAGAUAACACACUGGAUCAUCAUCCAGACCUCUACUGGUUAUAGAUAACACACUGGAUCAUCAUCCAGACCUCUACUGGUUAUAGUAAACACACUGGAUCAUCAUCCAGACCUCUACUGGUUAUAGUAAACACACUGGAUCAUCAUCCAGACCUCUACUGGUUAUAGUAAACACACUGGAUCAUCAUCCAGACCUCUACUGGUUAUAGUAAACACACUGGAUCAUCAUCCAGACCUCUACUGGUUAUAGUAAACAGACUGGAUCAUCAUCCAGACCUCUACUGGUUAUAGUAAACAGACUGGAUCAUCAUCCAGACCUCUACUGGUUAUAGUAAACAGACUGGAUCAUCAUCCAGACCUCUACUGGUUAUAGUAAACAGACUGGAUCAUCAUCCAGACCUCUACUGGUUAUAGUAAACAGACUGUCUCUUUGUCUCUCUGUGUCCGUCUCUCUGUCUCUUUGUGUCUCUCUGUAUCUGUGUCUCUCUGUAUCUGUGUCUCUCUGUGUCCGUCUCUCUGUCUCUGUGUGUGAUUAGCUCUGCCUGAUGGCAAUGUUAAAGGUGUUAAUAUCCUUUCCUGUCUCAGGUCCUAAUCUGAAGACGUUAUGCAAGCUUGCUGUUAUUAACUACAGUCUGGACCAGCAGGGACUACCACACGACAUCAGGUGGGAGCUGAACGCCAUGACGACCAACAGUAACAUCAGUAGACCCAUCUUCUCCUCUCACGGCUAAUCUGGACUGGUACCCUCCCCAGUACCAGAACACCAGGGCUGAACUGACCCAGAGAUACCACCAGUAUCUGAACACCAGGGCUGAACUGACCCAGAGCUACCACAGUACCAGAACACCAGGGCUGAACUGACCCAGAGAUACCACAGUAUCUGAACACCAGGGCUGAACUGACCCAGAGAUACCACAGUACCAGAACACCAGGGCUGAACUGACCCAGAGAUACCACAGUAUCUGAACACCAGGGCUGAACUGACCCAGAGAUACCACAGUAUCUGAACACCAGGGCUGAACUGACCCAGAGAUACCACAGUACCAGAACACCAGGGCUGAACUGACCCAGACAUACCACAGUAUCUGAACUCUACAGUCUGGACUGAUUCCACCAGAACCCUACUGUCUGGACUGAUUCCACCAGAACCCUACUGUCUCUUGAUGUUGGCUAAGUGAAAUCAUUGACCUCCCAGUUCACCAGAUCUUCUCUAUUUUAGCCCCUGGACACUGACAGGAGGGGUUCUAUUGGUGCUGAAUGCUGUUUUAGUAUCUGGGUUUGUGUUGCUCUAAUACUCACAACUCAAUGAGAAUCACUUUGAUUGUUAACUAGUGUUACAAUGAGCAGAACAUAUUCUCCCUGAUUGUUUUACCAGUAUUAUAAUGAGCAGAACAUAUUCUCCCUGAUUGUUUUACCAGUAUUAUAAUGAGCAGAACAUAUUCUCCCUGAUUGUUUUACCAGUAUUAUAAUGAGCAGAACAUAUUCUCCCUGAUUGUUUUACCAGUAUUAAAAUGAGCAGAACAUAUUCUCCCUGAUUGUUUUACCAGUAUUAAAAUGAGCAGAACAUAUUCUCCCUGAUUGUUUUACCAGUAUUAUAAUGAGCAGAACAUAUUCUCCCUGAUUGUUUUACCAGUAUUAUAAUGAGCAGAACAUA